RNAcentral lists this ribosomal RNA (253 nucleotides) under uncultured bacterium. Its description in RNAcentral is "partial 16S ribosomal RNA". It matches the Rfam family "Bacterial small subunit ribosomal RNA", at positions 524 to 776 of the family's 1533-position model. The record is from RNAcentral.
UACAGAGGGGGCAAGCGUUGUUCGGAAUUACUGGGCGUAAAGCGCACGUAGUCGGCUUUGCAAGUCGGGUGUGAAAUCCCCGGGCUCAACCUGGGAACUGCAUCCGAGACUGCAUUGCUAGAGUAUGGGAGAGGGAAGCGGAAUUUCUGGUGUAGCAGUGAAAUGCGUAGAUAUCAGAAGGAACAUCAGUGGCGAAGGCGGCUUCCUGGACCAAUACUGACGAUCAGGUGCGAAAGCGUGGGGAGCAAACAGG